UAUAGUUUUUGUAUUCAUUGUGCGAAGCAGAAUGAAUACAGAGUUAUAAGUACAAUCUCAAAAAAAGGUAGGCAGAGUGGAUUUGCUGAACAGCAUCCAUCCGCUUAUACGUCCGUGACAUAAAGUAGUUCAUGAUUUGCACUUAAAUCGCUUUAAGCAUACGCUAAGCGAUGACUUAUCUGUCCCAAUGUUGCAAAAAAUUAUGUUAAAGUUUUUUCUACCCGAAAAUCAUGCACUUUAUUCAUGUUUGACAUCUAAAAACAUCGAUAAAAAUUUCCUGUAUUUCUACGCUACAAAUUAUUAUUAACGCAUGCGCAGACUCACAAUAAUUUAUCGAAGAGAACAACACGUAAGAGAAAUUGCUCAGGAAAGAAUCAACAACCAUCGCACAUAUUGUUGACUGUAACCUUUUUGUCGUGGGUAUUGUAGCGGAUAUUCCUUGUGACGGAAAUAAAAGAUUAUUUACUUUAAUAUUCACUUGGAAAGGCUGGUACAUGUAGCUAGAAAAAGUACAGUAUAAGAUUAAAGAAAGACCAGAAGAUUAUUACAAACAACAGGUGGACAUGUGUCACUGUCAAGCGAAUGAAGAUAAGCAUCACACUCGGUGGGAAUCUCCAGUUUCCAGAUGUAGUGAUCAUAACUGUAUAGGCACCAUUAACACUUUGGACUAGUUGGAGUAUUUUAGAGGGCUAGUCUGAAUUGAAUCCCCUGUCAAUAGUAAAGGCCAGUCAUGAACAUUGUGUUGAAGGAAAAUGUUAAAACUCGGAUUUUCCGCUUAACCAAUCAUUACUUUACCUUAUAUUCAGUGCGGUAAUGUAGGAAAUGGUUACUUUCUGGAACAGAGCUGUCAAUUAUUUUUAAUUUAUUAGCUUGUUAGUGUUAUCGUCGGACAGUUGUGAAGUAAAAACAUCAUAGUUUGACUGUAUACAAGUUGCCUUAAAGAAAGUAUGUCGAAAUCUUAACAGUUAUUCGUUGAUUUUGUAGAAAUUGACUAGAAUUCACCUUUGUUAACAUGCAUCGCUUGGACGUCGAAAACGACAUGCAAUGACAUUUCAGUGAAAUUUGGAAACUUGCUCGUAUUUUGGAGCAUUUUGUAGGAUUUCGAUGAAGUAAAAAGUGUUUAUGAUAGGAUACAUUAUUCCUAGAGACAACCAUAAAGAUAAAAUAGUGAUCUGGUGUAUUUUUACCGAACAGUUCUUGUUUGUUUUGCAUGAUAUUUUUCUCUCGUUAGGGACCUUUAUUCUUUAUAUAUAGUAUUAUGAGCAUAUAUAUGGGUAAAUGUGGUAUAUAGUGCCUGUGGUUUUAAAACAUGUAUCUUAGCUUGCCUGGUGUAAUGAUAAGUAAUAAACCUGAGAAUUGAAACUAUGAGAAUAAAUUGUUGUUAUUAGUCCCCUUCUAUUUUCAUUAAGAGGGGACUAAAGGCUGACCCAUUUCUGUAUGUCAAUGAAAGCUGAAAGCUGAAUUUUGCUAUAACUUAAAUGGUACAAAAGUAAGGUUCAUCAUACUGGUAUCUGAUAUAGAACUAUACAGAGAUUUAGCAUGUUAUUAUAAUUUAUGCUCCUAUGAUUCUGGAUAAAUAUCUGUGUUCAUUCCAUACAGACUUGUACUUUUGGGGAAAAAGGUUGCUCAUGGGAGGAAAAUAUGUUUUUAAUGGUGUUUUUGAGAUUUUAGUUGAUAAAGGAAAAAAAAAACAUAGUCUGUACUUAGGAAGACAUUUGUCCUUCACACUCUUGUCCGAAAUAUGAAUAUAACUAGAUAUGUAUUGAAGGGAUUUUAUGUAAACUUCACAAAGUGAUAGAGACUUUUAAGAGGAAGUGCAAUGUUCAAGAAACAUAACUCUACCUUGCUUCAUGUUUUAAUUAUAUUCCUUAAGUUAAAAAUGCUUAUUCCAAACUAUCACUGAAUCUACAUCAACUUGAACGACUCGAAUUUUCCAAUGUGUCACAGAACCAUAACUC
Molecule: long non-coding RNA, 1958 nt
Organism: Ruditapes philippinarum (Manila clam)
Lineage: Eukaryota; Metazoa; Mollusca; Bivalvia; Venerida; Veneridae
Exons: 4
Source: RefSeq, a predicted model, not a curated record